GAUGAACGCUAGCGGGAGGCCUACACAUGCAAGCCGAGCGGUAUUGUUUCUUCGGAAAUGAGAGAGCGGCGUACGGGUGCGGAACACGUGUGCAACCUGCCUUUAUCUGGGGGAUAGCCUUUCGAAAGGAAGAUUAAUACUCCAUAACAUAUUGAACGGCAUCGUUUGAUAUUGAAAGCUCCGGCGGAUAGAGAUGGGCACGCGCAAGAUUAGCUAGUUGGUGAGGUAACGGCUCACCAAGGCGAUGAUCUUUAGGGGGCCUGAGAGGGUGAUCCCCCACACUGGUACUGAGACACGGACCAGACUCCUACGGGAGGCAGCAGUGAGGAAUAUUGGUCAAUGGGUGCAAGCCUGAACCAGCCAUCCCGCGUGAAGGACGACUGCCCUAUGGGUUGUAAACUUCUUUUGUAUAGGGAUAAACCUACCCUCGUGAGGGUAGCUGAAGGUACUAUACGAUAAGCCC
Molecule: ribosomal RNA, 463 nt
Filed under: Bergeyella sp. oral taxon 422
Lineage: Bacteria; Pseudomonadati; Bacteroidota; Flavobacteriia; Flavobacteriales; Weeksellaceae
Description: bacterial SSU rRNA
Rfam family: Bacterial small subunit ribosomal RNA
Source: RNAcentral